Molecule: ribosomal RNA, 705 nt
Filed under: uncultured bacterium
Lineage: Bacteria
Description: bacterial SSU rRNA
Rfam family: Bacterial small subunit ribosomal RNA
Source: RNAcentral
AAACGACUGCUAAUACCGCAUGACGCAUAGAGGUCGCAUGAUCUUUAUGCCAAAGAUUUAUCGCUUCAAGAUGGCCUCGCGUCUGAUUAGCUGGUUGGCGGGGUAACGGCUCACCAAGGCGACGAUCAGUAGCCGGACUGAGAGGUUGAACGGCCACAUUGGGACUGAGAUACGGCCCAGACUCCUACGGGAGGCAGCAGUGGGGAAUAUUGGGCAAUGGGCGCAAGCCUGACCCAGCAACGCCGCGUGAAGGAAGAAGGCUUUCGGGUUGUAAACUUCUUUUAAGAGGGAAGAGCAGAAGACGGUACCUCUAGAAUAAGCCACGGCUAACUACGUGCCAGCAGCCGCGGUAAUACGUAGGUGGCAAGCGUUGUCCGGAUUUACUGGGUGUAAAGGGCGUGCAGCCGGGUCUGCAAGUCAGAUGUGAAAUCCAUGGGCUCAACCCAUGAACUGCAUUUGAAACUGUAGAUCUUGAGUGUCGGAGGGGCAAUCGGAAUUCCUAGUGUAGCGGUGAAAUGCGUAGAUAUUAGGAGGAACACCAGUGGCGAAGGCGGAUUGCUGGACGAUAACUGACGGUGAGGCGCGAAAGUGUGGGGAGCAAACAGGAUUAGAUACCCUGGUAGUCCACACUGUAAACGAUGAAUACUAGGUGUGCGGGGACUGACCCCCUGCGUGCCGCAGUAAACACAAUAAGUAUUCCACCUG